CUGCUCCGGACAGGGAUGGUUCAUCGAUAAUUCCUCGUUCUGUGUAAAGCUUUUGAAAAUUUUAAUACUUUCUAUACGAUCAGAUCGAACGCUUAUGAGAUUAUCUGGCGCGCGUUAUGUAUCACGUGCUGGCUUAACACGAACCUUCUCGCGAAACGAUCGAUCUCCAAUCAACUGUGGUGGAGACGUGCAAAACCCUCAUCCCCCCGCCAGCACCCAAACUCUCCAACAACGAUGCAAGAUUCCGUUCGAUGUUCCUGGCUUCGACACCCAUAAAAUACGAUACUUCGGGCAUGAUCUAACUUAAAUUCACGGAUAUGAAACCAUUGGAAGAAUAAUUACAACGAGAAAUAGAGAAAAGUUGUGCAUCGGACUAUGGAACAUAAAGAAAACGGAUUGAGGAUGAUUCGAGGGCGACGUAGGUCGAGAGGAGUGUCUGGAACUCAGCUUGUACCGAGUGAGAAGAUUGUUCAUCAUUCGCGAAAAGUGUGAUGAACGAAAUGCUUCACCAGGAAAACAAAAAUAAAAUGAAGACGCGACUAAGAUUCUGCAGCGAUAGACAUGCACGUGAUACUGAGCGCGUGCUGCAGCGAUCGCGUCGGGGAGCCACGUCUGUAAUCUCGGCGGCAUCUUUUUUUUCCUUCUAACACUUGUGAUUCCGCUCCUACGUUUUGCUGAGCGCCUCGAGCCUACACCGCGAUGGAUCUUGAUCGGCACGAUCGACGGUUAUCGAGAAACGAUCUAGGCAAAGGCGAUAUCUGAUUUGAAGAAAAUUAUAUCGACGAAGACGCCAAAGUUAUGCUACAGUUUAGAGAAACCAAUGGCAAAAAUCUCGUCCUCUUUAAACAUUUCAGAAUCCUAAAUCGUAUAACAUCGCAAUACAAAUCAGGUGUUAUGAAUGUGGUCAACUUGGAAAGCUCGUUUAGAAAAAAUCCUCUUCCCAGCUCACUGAUCGGGGAUUCUAUUGAACGUUAAACAAAUAUUUGCUAGAAACAUGAUUAUUCCUCCACGAUUGAACCGACUUUACGUUCCUAUAAUAAAUUUAUACAAGUUUUACGAUGCUUUUAAUUUUGAAGGAUACUCCAAUGUUAUUGAAAAUUUCUCCCAGGUCUCGCUUCGUUAAAAAACUUUUUUCAUUUCAUAAAAAAUACAGUGUGCAAUAACAGACUGGAGCACCACAUCCUUGUCACAGCUGGAAGAAACGUUUCAACUUUUUGUUUCGUCGAAUCAACGUCCGUCAUCGUGCUCGAGAGCGCUGACUAUGCUAACUGAGCAAUCACAAAAAUUGAAUGUUGAGCACACAAAUCCAUGCAGAUAUAUUUGUAUAGAGUAUUUCGUGAUAAUUCAUUCAAGUGCUUCGUUUCUGUUGUAGAUUGUACCUCGUUACGAAUAUUCACAGGGAUUCUCGUCCACUCCAGAGGAGCAUCGACGAGCUUUUUUCACGUUCGUUUAUAACUGGAGUAGUUCAUUAAAGAACAGUCGAUUCUUGCCUCUUAACAGUGAGUGAAUCUGUGACGAUGUGAUGGAGAAAAAACUGGACCAUCUCUGUGCUGUUGGCAUCAUUAGGAGUAAAAAUGUUGUUCGCAAUCGCUCAUAUUUGGGACGAACAUUUUUUCGUAUUGCGCUUUAACCCUUUGUAUAUUCAUUUAGGCCUUUGAUGUCACAUCCUUCUUAAUUAUUUUCGCCUUUAUUCAGUGAAUUUACGGUAAAAAUGGAGCAAAAUAAAGAAUAUUCUUGGUCAUAACGAAAGAAAAAAGCCGAGAAGCUGUGGCCGAAUGGAACUGGGUAAAGAGCAUAGAGAAAGGUAAAUCGAGAUAGGAAGAGAGGAGAAGAGAUUAAGAGGAAGGAAAAAAAGUAGUCAAGUGCGCCUCGGACCUCAGAAACGUAGGACCCGUCAAGAUUCCCAUCAACAUUUCAGAUCACGUCCAUCAAAGAGUAAAAAAACUAUUUUUUUUCAAUUAAUUCAAGAAUAGUUGUCACUAGAGCAGUGCUGUUCUGUCAAAUUACUUCAGAUUUUGAGGUCAAGUAAUUAUGGAAAUAGCUGCGGAGGCCGAGUUUCAAGAUUUCAUAACUGUUUCAGCGUGCGAUGUGUAUGCGUUCAUCGAAUGUGUAUAUGCGUUUGGGAAUUUGAAAACUCAUUAGCUGUGAGUGUCAAAAAACUUCGUUUAAGAUCAUUAAUGGUUGAACAGCCGUGAAGAGUUGAGAUAAAAUUCAACCUCUGAGCUUUGUUUUAUUUUUAUUCGCGUGAAGAAUAGAAUCGUCAAAUUUUAUAAUCGCGUCUGGAAAAUACAAUUUCUUUUUGUAUGGACUAGGGUUGGUGAAGAAAAUGUAAGCGACAAUAUGAAAUUUUGAUAUUCCCGGGCGCUGGGUGAGAGUCGAAAUCGGUCUCUUGGCUCGGGGACGUUUACGAGGUUACAUCCUUCAAGGGAUUCUACAAGAAACGGUAACGUUUUCGCAUCAUCGCCUGGCCAGCGUACUUGAUCAUCCCGUCUGUAUUUUUUCACGUCGACGAGCGAUAUACCUCUAGUCCUCGGGCAAGAGCCACCGAGGGAUCCUUCAAUUAUCGAGAUAAGUUCCCUCACAUGUAUAAAAAACACAAUCAAUAUAUUGUCGAUUAAAAAUUUGAGAAUCUUGCGAACAAAAGAAAAUUAAACUGUGCGGUUCCACGGACGAUAGAACCAGCUUAUAAGUAUGUGUAUGUGUGCGUGAACGGGAAUGGAAGAAAAGAAUGCCUAUGAAUGUUAAUGACGAAAUGACACAAUGAUACCGGCGUUAAUUCAAAAUAAAAUCGUUCAUCAAUUUUGAAAGUCAUAAUUCUUUUAUUCUUUUGUUGUUUUCUUUUUCUUUUUCUUCUUUUUUUGUGUUGUAAUUUCGUUGUCGUGGAUCAAGAAAAAAAUAGUUACAAAAAGAAUCGAGUGAGAAAGUUAUAGUGCUGAUCACGAUGAAUUCUUUUUAUCUUGACGUUUGUAAACUGACAUGGAACGAAAUUCCAAAACACAGUGAAGCGUCUCGAGUGUGUGAAUUUGUCGGUUUCUAUAUGUGCAGUGAAUGAUUCAAAUUAAAAUAAAACUCCCCCGUAUUUAAUUUAAGGUCAAGGGAGUUGAAAGUGUUCGAUUAAAAAACUGGAGAACUGUGCCAAACUUCUCGUAUAUCGAGGUAGAAUGAACCUCAAGCAUGUUGGAACUUCGUUCCGGGCUAUGUACUCGCAAUGGUAAUACUUCGAAUAAAAACCAAUGGAUAAGAA
RNAcentral lists this long non-coding RNA (3244 nucleotides) under Venturia canescens. Its description in RNAcentral is "uncharacterized LOC122409577, transcript variant X1". Lineage: Eukaryota; Metazoa; Arthropoda; Insecta; Hymenoptera; Ichneumonidae. The record is from RNAcentral.